CCUACGGGUGGCAGCAGUGGGGAAUCUUCCGCAAUGGGCGAAAGCCUGACGGAGCAACGCCGCGUGAUCGAAUGAAGGCCUUCGGGUUGUAACGAUCUGUUGACAGGGACGAAUAAGCCAUGCGAAUAGUUUGGUGUAUGACGGUACCUGUUUAGAAAGCUCCGGCUAACUACGUGCCAGCAGCCGCGGUAAUACGUAGGGAGCAAGCGUUGUCCGGCAUUACUGGGCGUAAAGGGCGCGUAGGUGGGUGCGUAAGUCAGGUGUGAAAACUCUGGGCUCAACCUGGAGACUGCACUUGAAACUGGGUAUCUUGAGGGCAGGAGAGGAAAGUGGAAUUCCGAGUGUAGCGGUGAAAUGCGUAGAUAUUAGGAGGAACACCAGUGGCGAAGGCGAAUUUCUGGACUGUACCUGACGCUGAGGCGCGAAAGCGUGGGUAGCGAACGGGAUUAGAUACCCUAGUAGUC
Molecule: ribosomal RNA, 464 nt
Filed under: uncultured bacterium
Lineage: Bacteria
Description: partial 16S ribosomal RNA
Rfam family: Bacterial small subunit ribosomal RNA
Source: RNAcentral